RNAcentral lists this ribosomal RNA (303 nucleotides) under uncultured bacterium. RNAcentral's name for it is "bacterial SSU rRNA". It matches the Rfam family "Bacterial small subunit ribosomal RNA", at positions 355 to 675 of the family's 1533-position model. The record is from RNAcentral.
UGGGGAAUAUUGCACAAUGGGGGAAACCCUGAUGCAGCGACGCCGCGUGAGUGAAGAAGUAUCUCGGUAUGUAAAGCUCUAUCAGCAGGGAAGAAAAUGACGGUACCUGACUAAGAAGCCCCGGCUAACUACGUGCCAGCAGCCGCGGUAAUACGUAGGGGGCAAGCGUUAUCCGGAUUUACUGGGUGUAAAGGGAGCGUAGACGGCGCUGCAAGUCCGGAGUGAAAGCCCAUGGCUUAACCAUGGUACUGCUCUGGAAACUGUGGAGCUUGAGUGCGGGAGGGGCAGGCGGAAUUCCUAGUG